Molecule: ribosomal RNA, 580 nt
Filed under: Clostridium botulinum C/D str. BKT2873
Lineage: Bacteria; Bacillati; Bacillota; Clostridia; Eubacteriales; Clostridiaceae
Description: bacterial SSU rRNA
Rfam family: Bacterial small subunit ribosomal RNA
Source: RNAcentral
CCACGCCGUAAACGAUGAAUACUAGGUGUCGGGGGGUACCACCCUCGGUGCCGCAGCAAACGCAUUAAGUAUUCCGCCUGGGGAGUACGGUCGCAAGAUUAAAACUCAAAGGAAUUGACGGGGACCCGCACAAGCAGCGGAGCAUGUGGUUUAAUUCGAAGCAACGCGAAGAACCUUACCUAGACUUGACAUCUCCUGAAUUACUCUUAAUCGAGGAAGUCCCUUCGGGGACAGGAAGACAGGUGGUGCAUGGUUGUCGUCAGCUCGUGUCGUGAGAUGUUGGGUUAAGUCCCGCAACGAGCGCAACCCUUAUUGUUAGUUGCUACUAUUAAGUUAAGCACUCUAACGAGACUGCCGCGGUUAACGUGGAGGAAGGUGGGGAUGACGUCAAAUCAUCAUGCCCCUUAUGUCUAGGGCUACACACGUGCUACAAUGGCUGGUACAACGAGCAGCAAACCCGUGAGGGGGAGCAAAACUUGAAAGCCAGUCCCAGUUCGGAUUGUAGGCUGAAACUCGCCUACAUGAAGUUGGAGUUGCUAGUAAUCGCGAAUCAGCAUGUCGCGGUGAAUACGUUCCCGGG